RNAcentral lists this non-coding RNA (86 nucleotides) under Mangrovibacter plantisponsor. The record is from RNAcentral. Lineage: Bacteria; Pseudomonadati; Pseudomonadota; Gammaproteobacteria; Enterobacterales; Enterobacteriaceae.
CAUUAGGUGGGCUGAGUGAGGGCAGACCAACUGCGCUGGUAACCUUGUAUGCCAGUUACGCCAACCUUGCUCAGUCCACCACCUGA